This 253-nucleotide ribosomal RNA is filed under the name uncultured bacterium. Its description in RNAcentral is "partial 16S ribosomal RNA". It matches the Rfam family "Bacterial small subunit ribosomal RNA", at positions 524 to 776 of the family's 1533-position model. The record is from RNAcentral.
UACGUAGGGUGCAAGCGUUAAUCGGAAUUACUGGGCGUAAAGGGCGCGUAGGCGGCCUGCUAAGUCGAACGUGAAAUCCCUGGGCUCAACCCAGGAACUGCGUCCGAUACUGGUUGGCUUGAAUCCGGGAGAGGGAUGUGGAAUUCCAGGUGUAGCGGUGAAAUGCGUAGAUAUCUGGAGGAACACCGGUGGCGAAGGCGACAUCCUGGACCGGCAUUGACGCUGAGGCGCGAAAGCCAGGGGAGCAAACGGG